UGCCUAAUGCUGCGCGGCAUCAUUAUCUGCAUAUAAUAUGGGUAUCAGUAUAUACGUUGAAGGGUCUAAACAAGACAGAAAAGGUAAGAAGAAGAAGCAUGUAUCUUUGAAUAUGAAGAUAUACAAACAUGGAUAAAAAAGGGCAGUUAGUGCAAUCAGCCUAUAACUUUACCAGAUGAUGUUCGUAAUACCUAUAAUGAUAAAGAUAGAGCUAAUGGGA
Molecule: long non-coding RNA, 220 nt
Filed under: Nicotiana benthamiana
Lineage: Eukaryota; Viridiplantae; Streptophyta; Magnoliopsida; Solanales; Solanaceae
Description: long non-coding RNA (NBEN_LNC023861)
Source: RNAcentral